RNAcentral lists this long non-coding RNA (553 nucleotides) under Equus caballus (horse). RNAcentral describes it as "lncRNA (ENSECAG00000039606.2)". The record is from RNAcentral. Lineage: Eukaryota; Metazoa; Chordata; Mammalia; Perissodactyla; Equidae.
CAAGGAGACCCAGCAUUUUCUGAGCUUGGGGACAUGAAGGAACCAGUUAGCUUAUUUUGAUUACGUGACUGUGAGUGAUGCUGUCCAGGUCGGCUCCAGGCAAUGGACCCUGAGGUGGCAGAUGGCUGUCCAUGCUAAAGGAUGCCUCUGCUCCACUGCUCAAGGAGUGGAAGCAGCCACUACUCACUCCCUCGAGAUGAGUGAGACGGUGCUCAGCUCAGUUGAGAGUGGUCUGUGCGUGCGUUUUCUCUGGAGGAAGCCCAGCAACACCACGCCUGGAUUGGAGAUUGUACGUGAAGAGAAUCAGAAGCCCCAUCCCUUGACUACUGAGCCUCACCUGGUAACACCCACCUGCCAAGCUGACUGGACCUCAAGGAGUGUCACCGAGAAUUCCUGGGGAUGAUACAGCAAGGGCAGAGCCAGCUUGCCAACAGGUGCUCACACCUGGGACCCCAGGAGGGCCGCCCCACCAGGAAAAGGACACAAUCAAGCCCCAUUUGAGGUUCAGGAUUAAGAAAGCAGUAAGCGUCAGCUCCUCUGGAGGGCUCGCCCU